Molecule: unclassified non-coding RNA, 298 nt
Filed under: uncultured Chaetomium
Lineage: Eukaryota; Fungi; Ascomycota; Sordariomycetes; Sordariales; Chaetomiaceae
Description: partial contains 5.8S ribosomal RNA, internal transcribed spacer 2, and large subunit ribosomal RNA
Rfam family: 5.8S ribosomal RNA (bases 1-102)
Source: RNAcentral
AUGCGAUAAGUAAUGUGAAUUGCAGAAUUCAGUGAAUCAUCGAAUCUUUGAACGCACAUUGCGCCCGCCAGUAUUCUGGCGGGCAUGCCUGUUCGAGCGUCAUUUCAACCAUCAAGCCCCCGGGCUUGUGUUGGGGACCUGCGGCUGCCGCAGGCCCUGAAAAGCAGUGGCGGGCUCGCUGUCACACCGAGCGUAGUAGCAUACAUCUCGCUCUGGGCGUGCUGCGGGUUCCGGCCGUUAAACCACCUUUUAACCCAAGGUUGACCUCGGAUCAGGUAGGAAGACCCGCUGAACUUAA